AACCCCACUCCCCAACUCUAAACCCUAAAACCUAAACUCUAAACCCUAAGCCCUAAGCUCUAAACCCUAAUCCCUAAAUCUUAAACCCUAAACCCUAAAUCCUAAACCCCACCCCUUAACUCUAAACCCUAAACCCUAAACCCCACCCCUAAACCUCACCCCUAAACUCUAAACUCUAAACACUAAACCCUAAACCCUAAACCCUAAAUCCUAAACCCCACCCCUUAACUC
This 231-nucleotide long non-coding RNA is filed under the name Brassica napus (rape). RNAcentral describes it as "long non-coding RNA (BNAP_LNC017072)". The record is from RNAcentral. Lineage: Eukaryota; Viridiplantae; Streptophyta; Magnoliopsida; Brassicales; Brassicaceae.